Mauremys mutica (yellowpond turtle) is the source of this 406-nucleotide long non-coding RNA. RefSeq lists it as uncharacterized. The transcript is spliced from 4 exons. NCBI's taxonomy places the organism in Eukaryota, Metazoa, Chordata, Testudines, Geoemydidae. The record is from RefSeq and is a predicted model, not a curated record.
CAACAGGGUGUAGUCCGCCUGAUCGUACUAGUCCCUAGAACUGCUAGCAGGCAGCACUAUCCAGUGGUUUUUGUGAAGGGCCCCAGAUAUCAAAUGGGCCGCCUUGGCCUGGACCUGAAGAAAGUGAAAGAAAAUUUUGGAGUCUAGCUCAACACCUCUGUAGACUUUACGUGUAUCAAAGCAACAUUAGGAGUCUUGAACAGCCCUACUUCAUUCAACAAAGCUGUUUUUGCAGUUUUGCGUUGUUCCAUUUUGACAGUAACAACACACAAAGAGAAACAAAUGUAGACGCGGAUAAAUCAAUCCCCGAUCGCUCUGCUGUUGACUUUGGAACUCCACCACGGCGAGAGGCGGAAGCAGAGUCGACGGGGGAGUGGCGGCCGUCGAUCCCUCGCUGCGAGGACAC